GUGAACAGCCAUCAGGAAAACAGGCUGGAUCUCCUCAGAGCUGCAGUGAUGCCAUUUUAUUGACUUAGUGAGCAGCUGGAAGUGCAGGAAUGCUAAUAAAUCCCAACAUGAUCCUCUAGCACAGAGUGCAGGAAGAACAUAAAGUCAAGAUCCAGCAUAUCAUGUCAUUCAUGCGGAUUUCGUGUAGAAUUUGAGCAGCUGAGCCUCCUCCCUGCAUCUGGUGCAGACGGAGCCCAGAGGAACAACCAGAAGUGCUGGGAAUGGACUAGAGGCAUAGUGCUGAGUCUUUGGAGUGCAAGGUAAUGAAAGAUUUACUAAUAUUUACUUGGGAAUAUACAUAGUUUGUCAGAAUGCAAAGAGCACUUCGCGUGGCGCCGUUGCUUUUAUGGCCACAGCAACGUCAUGCUCUACAAAGAAGAACCUGGAUGGUUCUUCCAUUCCUGCAAGGAACACAAAAGCAAACAAUCCAAAUCCAGUGUUUUAAUGACUGCUAGCCACUGAUGGAGGUCGAGGCUUCCAUAGCAAUGGGGCAGAUUUCGGAAGAUAUUUGAGAGGUUUGAUUAAGUUGUGCGGAAUAGAUUGGCCAGCUGCACGGUUUGUAAAACGCCUGCGUUGCCUGAGAAGGUGGGACAGUACCUAGUUUAAAUAACUUUGCACAAGGCUUUUGUCAUGCACGGAACAGUAGCACCUGGCCUUUUGAAGUCACGCUUAAAUUUCCAGACAAAGGUAAACAAAUCUUUCUGAUGGCACAGAUCCACCCUGAAAGGACUGGAGUUGUGGAUACAAGACAGACUAACCAGAGAAAUAGAGAGUUUAGUCUCCCACUAAACAAAAUCUUAUAGGUUGAUGAUGUGGUGUAAACACAUGAAAUGCCUAUGGAACAAUAUAAAACACUGAGGCUUAAUGGCUUAAUUAAGCACACUACUCAUACAUUGCCAGGCUUCAA
Phasianus colchicus (ring-necked pheasant) is the source of this 946-nucleotide non-coding RNA. Lineage: Eukaryota; Metazoa; Chordata; Aves; Galliformes; Phasianidae. The record is from RefSeq and is a predicted model, not a curated record.